GAUGAACGCUGACAGAAUGCUUAACACAUGCAGGUCCUUGGCGAAGCUGCGCUUGCGCAGUCUAGCCAAGGCGGACGGGUGAGUAACGCGUAAGGAACUUGCCCUGCAGACAGGGAUAACAGACGGAAACGACUGAUAACACCUGGUAUUGUCAGGCUGGCGCAUGCCGGCCUGAUGAAAGGAGACGCUGCAGGAGAGCCUUGCGUCCUAUUAGCUAGUUGGUGGGGUAACGGCCCACCAAGGCGAUGAUAGGUAGCCGGCCUGAGAGGGUGAACGGCCACAAGGGGACUGAGAUACGGCCCUUACUCCUACGGGAGGCAGCAGUGGGGAAUAUUGGACAAUGGGGGCAACCCUGAUCCAGCAAUUCUGUGUGCACGAAGAAGGUUUUCGGAUUGUAAAGUGCUUUCAGCAGGGAAGAAGAAAGUGACGGUACCUGCAGAAGAAGCGACGGCUAAAUACGUG
RNAcentral lists this ribosomal RNA (462 nucleotides) under uncultured bacterium. RNAcentral describes it as "partial 16S ribosomal RNA". It matches the Rfam family "Bacterial small subunit ribosomal RNA", at positions 28 to 507 of the family's 1533-position model. The record is from RNAcentral.